GUUUUAUUUUAGCUAGAAGGUUAGCACUCCCCUUGGUAAGGAUAGAACAGGCCCUUGUGGCCUAUGCAGUACAUAUAUGAUUAAGGUGCUUCCACUUAUGUUGUGGCAUCUAACAAGUUUUUUUU
Python bivittatus (Burmese python) is the source of this 125-nucleotide small nuclear RNA. The record is from RefSeq and is a predicted model, not a curated record. Lineage: Eukaryota; Metazoa; Chordata; Lepidosauria; Squamata; Pythonidae.